CAAAUUGGUCCACAUUGAAGUCUAAUGGGGUCUAAAAUUGAACAUUAUUUGAUUGCAUCAAAAAUUGAAUUCUUGGGGUUCUAUGAUAUGCUGAAUCUAACCAUGUAUUUAGAUUUUGGAUAUUGGACCAUAAUAGGUAAAUGUCAAAUUAAAUUUUUUUAAGUUUUUAAGUUUAAGUUCUUAGACCACACUCAUUCUGUUGUGUCAACUAUUUAAUCACAAUCCAAAUUCAGAGCUAUAUCAAGCUUAAAUGUUGUGUCCAUACUUGCCCCA
This 273-nucleotide long non-coding RNA is filed under the name Mytilus galloprovincialis (Mediterranean mussel). Lineage: Eukaryota; Metazoa; Mollusca; Bivalvia; Mytilida; Mytilidae. The record is from RNAcentral.